RNAcentral lists this non-coding RNA (825 nucleotides) under Gambelia wislizenii (Longnose leopard lizard). Its description in RNAcentral is "partial 12S ribosomal RNA". It matches the Rfam family "Bacterial small subunit ribosomal RNA". Lineage: Eukaryota; Metazoa; Chordata; Lepidosauria; Squamata; Crotaphytidae. The record is from RNAcentral.
GGUCCUAAGCUUACUGCUAUUUGUAAUCAAAAUUACACAUGCAAACAUCCGUACACCAGUGAAAAUGCCCAUUAAUAAACUACGGAGCAGGUAUCAGGCACGGCCAGCCAGCCCAAAACACCUUGCUUUGCCACACCCACACGGGUAAUCAGCAGUGAUUAACAUUAAGCCAUGAGCAAACAUCAACAAACUCGACUUAGUUAUGAUUAUUAGGGCCGGUAAAUCUCGUGCCAGCCGCCGCGGUUAUACGAGAGGUCCAAAAUAGCAGACAUCGGCGUAAAUCGUGACUAGAACCAUUCCCAAAACAUAAGAAAAAAACUAAGGCCUAGCCGUAAAACACAGGCCUAACGAACACAACAAAUUCUUAUACAAAGGAAGUUUGACCCACGAAAACUAAGAAACAAACUAGGAUUAGAUACCCUAUUAUGCUUAGUAGUAAAUAAGGCACCCACAUUACCAAGAUGCCCGCCAGAAAAUUACGAGCGAAAAGCUUAAAACUCAAAGGACUUGGCGGUGCUCCAUACCCGAUUUAGAGGAGCCUGUCCUGUAAUCGAUACCCCACGCUACACCUCACCACUCUUUGCCCCCAGCCUAUAUACCGCCGUCGCAAACUUACCCCAUGAGGGUAAAACAGUAAGUACAAUAGUCAUAUGACUAAAACGUCAGGUCAAGGUGUAGCUCAUAGAGUGGCAGACGAUGGGCUACAUUUUUUAUUACAAAACAAACGGCAAGAGGCCGUGAAAUCGGCUUCCAAAGGAGGAUUUAAUAGUAAAACAGACAAGAAAAUCUGUCUUAAACUCGCUCUGGAGCGCGCACACACCGCCC